CGGAGCAGCCGCAGCUCACAGCCCGCAGAGGACGCCCAGAGCGGCGAGCGCGCAGACAGACGGACCGACGGACUCGCGCCGCGUCCACCUGUCUGCCGCGCCCGGCACUGCGCGCAGCGGGCACGCCGCGAGCGCGGAGCAGCCGUGCCCGCCGCCCGGGCCCCGCGCCAAGGCGCACACGCUCCGGCCCCCCCCACCCGGCCCGGGCGGGAGUUUGCACCUCUCCCUGCCCGGGUACUCGGGCCGCCGCUGCAAAGCCAACUUUGGAAAAAGUUUUUUGGGGGAGACUUUGGCCUUGAGGUGCCCGGCUCUGCACUUUCCGACUUCGGGGGCCUUUCUAGAAAAUGUUGCAAAAAAGCUAAGCCAGCGGGCAGAGGAAAACGCCUAUAGCCGGCGAGUGAAGACGAACCAUCGGCUGCCGUGUUCUUUUUCCUCUUGGAGGUUGGAGUCCCCUGGGCGCCCCCACACGGCUAGACGCCUCGGCUGGUUCGCGACGCAGACCCCCGGCCGUGGAUGCUCGCUCGGGCUCGGGAUCCGCCCAGGUAGCGGCCGCGGACCCUGGUCCCGCGCCCAGGCCCUCCCCAGCCCCCCAACGACGGAGCCGGGGC
Regulatory RNA element from Felis catus (domestic cat), 608 nucleotides. It matches the Rfam family "c-sis internal ribosome entry site (IRES)". Rfam says of the family: This family represents the c-sis 5'-UTR which contains three modules that can individually mediate internal ribosome entry. NCBI's taxonomy places the organism in Eukaryota, Metazoa, Chordata, Mammalia, Carnivora, Felidae. The record is from Rfam.